GAAGGUCCGGGCGUUAUCCGGAUUUAUUGGGUUUAAAGGGAGCGCAGGCCGCCCCUUAAGCGUGUUGUGAAAUGCCGCGGCUCAACCGUGGCACUGCAGCGCGAACUGGGGGGCUUGAGUGCGCCGGAGGUAGGCGGAAUUCGUGGUGUAGCGGUGAAAUGCUUAGAUAUCACGAAGAACUCCGAUUGCGAAGGCAGCCUACCGUAGCGUUACUGACGCUGAGGCUCGAAGGUGCGGGUAUCGAAC
Molecule: ribosomal RNA, 246 nt
Filed under: uncultured bacterium
Lineage: Bacteria
Description: partial 16S ribosomal RNA
Rfam family: Bacterial small subunit ribosomal RNA
Source: RNAcentral